Molecule: ribosomal RNA, 492 nt
Filed under: uncultured bacterium
Lineage: Bacteria
Description: partial 16S ribosomal RNA
Rfam family: Bacterial small subunit ribosomal RNA
Source: RNAcentral
AGUGAACGCUGGCGGUAGGCCUAACACAUGCAAGUCGAACGGCAGCACAGUAAGAGCUUGCUCUUACGGGUGGCGAGUGGCGGACGGGUGAGGAAUACAUCGGAAUCUACUUUUUCGUGGGGGAUAACGUAGGGAAACUUACGCUAAUACCGCAUACGACCUACGGGUGAAAGCAGGGGAUCUUCGGACCUUUCGCGAUUGAAUGAGCCGAUGUCGGAUUAGCUAGUUGGCGGGGUAAAGGCCCACCAAGGCGACGAUCCGUAGCUGGUCUGAGAGGAUGAUCAGCCACACUGGAACUGAGACACGGUCCAGACUCCUACUGGAGGCAGCAGUGGGGAAUAUUGGACAAUGGGCGCAAGCCUGAUCCAGCCAUACCGCGUGGGUGAAGAAGGCCUUCGGGUUGUAAAGCCCUUUUGUUGGGAAAGAAAAGCAGCAGGUUAAUACGCCGCUGUUCUGACGGUACCCAAAGAAUAAGCACCGGCUAACUUCGUG